RNAcentral lists this unclassified non-coding RNA (333 nucleotides) under soil metagenome. RNAcentral's name for it is "partial contains 5.8S ribosomal RNA, internal transcribed spacer 2, and large subunit ribosomal RNA". The stretch from base 1 to 121 matches the Rfam family "5.8S ribosomal RNA", at positions 35 to 154 of the family's 154-position model. The record is from RNAcentral.
GAUGAAGAACGUAGUGAAAUGCGAUAAGUAAUGCGAAUUGCAGAAUUUUAGUGAAUCAUCGAAUCUUUGAACGCACAUUGCGCCCGCCAGUAUUCUGGCGGGCAUGCCUGUUCGAGCGUCAUUUCAACCCUCAAGCACAGCUUGGUGUUGGGACUCGCGUUAAUUCGCGUUCCUCAAAUUGAUUGGCGGUCACGUCGAGCUUCCAUAGCGUAGUAGUAAAACCCUCGUUACUGGUAAUCGUCGCGGCCACGCCGUUAAACCCCAACUUCUGAAUGUUGACCUCGGAUCAGGUAGGAAUACCCGCUGAACUUAAGCAUAUCAAUAAGCGGAGGA